This 253-nucleotide ribosomal RNA is filed under the name uncultured bacterium. Its description in RNAcentral is "partial 16S ribosomal RNA". It matches the Rfam family "Bacterial small subunit ribosomal RNA", at positions 524 to 776 of the family's 1533-position model. The record is from RNAcentral.
UACGUAGGGUGCGAGCGUUAAUCGGAAUUACUGGGCGUAAAGCGUGCGCAGGCGGCUCUGAAAGUCAGCUGUGAAAGCCCCGGGCUUAACCUGGGAAUGGCGGUUGAAACUACAGAGCUAGAAUCUGGCAGAGGGGGGUGGAAUUCCACGUGUAGCAGUGAAAUGCGUAGAGAUCGGGAGGAACACCAGUGGCGAAGGCGGCUACCUGGACCAGCACUGACACUGAGGCACGAAAGCGUGGGGAGCAAACAGG